GAUAAAAACUGAGUGGUAUUGGUAUAGUAACAGGAAAGAAGAUCAAUGGAGUGGAAUUGAAGACCAAGAAAUGAAUUCACACACCUAUGGUCACUUGAUCUUUGUCAAAGAGCUAAAACCAUCCAGUGGGAAAAAGACAGCAUUUUCAACAGAUGGUGGUGGUUCAACUAGCAGUUAGCAUGUAGAAGAACAAAAAAUGAUUCUUUUUUUUUUCAGAAUUUAGGUAAACUUUUAAUUUAGGAAAUAGGAAAAAUAGCAAUAUAACAAGAAGACAGUGAUACAAAAAUAUAAUGAGGCAAAGCCAUUAGAAGAAACCCACUUUUUCUCCAGUAAUGCUCUCAUUUUCCUCUAGUCUCUCCUCUGCAGUCUUAGAAAUAUGUUUGAGUACAGUUCAGUAGAACUAAUAAUCCUUGAACUAUUCUUAUUUCCUUGUACAAAGCUCAUGUCCAAGUGGAUCAAGCACCUCCUUAUAAAACCAGAUACUCUGAAACUAAUAGAAGAGACAUCGGGGAAGAACCUUGAGCACAUGGGAAGAGAGGAAAAUUUCCUAAACAGAACAACAAGAACUUUUGCAAUAAGAUCAAGAAUUGACAAAUGGGACCUCAUACAAUUGCAAAGCUUCUGUAAGGUAAAGGGCAUUGUCAAUAUAGCCAAAUGGCAAUCAACAGAUUGGGAAAACAUCUUGAUCAAUCCUACAUCUGAUAGAAGGCUAGUAUUCAAUAUAUGCAAAGAACUCAAGAAGUUACCUUCUGGAGAAUC
RNAcentral lists this long non-coding RNA (759 nucleotides) under Mus musculus (house mouse). Its description in RNAcentral is "long non-coding RNA chrX:119226464-119227223". Lineage: Eukaryota; Metazoa; Chordata; Mammalia; Rodentia; Muridae. The record is from RNAcentral.